RNAcentral lists this ribosomal RNA (253 nucleotides) under uncultured bacterium. RNAcentral describes it as "partial 16S ribosomal RNA". It matches the Rfam family "Bacterial small subunit ribosomal RNA", at positions 524 to 776 of the family's 1533-position model. The record is from RNAcentral.
GACAGAGGGGGCAAGCGUUGCUCGGAAUUACUGGGCGUAAAGGGCGCGUAGGCGGGAUGGCAAGUCGGUCGUGAAAUCCCUCGGCUCAACCGAGGAACGUCGAUCGAUACUGCUGUUCUUGAGGAUUGCAGAGGAGACUGGAAUUCCCGGUGUAGCGGUGAAAUGCGUAGAUAUCGUAAGGAAGACCAGUGGCGAAGGCGGGUCUCUGGACAGUUCCUGACGCUGAGGCACGAAGGCCAGGGGAGCAAACGGG